CAAAAGUAAUGGGAAGGAGACAGUGGUAGGGAGACUCAACGAGACUCACAUCUUCAACGGAAGUAAUUGGAUCAUGCUGAUCUAUAAAGGGGGUGAUGAAUAUGACAACCACUGUGGCAAGGAGCAGCGUCGUGCAGUGGUGAUGAUCUCCUGCAAUCGACACACCCUAGCGGACAAUUUUAACCCUGUGUCUGAGGAGCGUGGCAAAGUCCAAGAUUGUUUCUACCUCUUUGAGAUGGAUAGCAGCCUGGCCUGUUCACCAGAGAUCUCCCACCUCAGUGUGGGUUCUAUCUUACUUGUCACGUGAGUAUGCCUUCCUUUAUCAGAACAGACCUUCCUUCCUUUUGUUUUUAAGGUCAGUAACUAUAUGGUGGUACAUAAGCACAAAUUGUAUGUGUGUACGUUAUGCUGUAA
RNAcentral lists this small RNA (414 nucleotides) under Pan troglodytes (chimpanzee). Its description in RNAcentral is "retained intron". Lineage: Eukaryota; Metazoa; Chordata; Mammalia; Primates; Hominidae. The record is from RNAcentral.